GCCGAAGGCCUAGUCCCCUAUGAAUUUCAUUCACCCUCUACAGAUCCGUAGAUGGUCAGUAGUUAACCGUAUAAUGAAUUUAUUGGACGCUGGACUUUUUCUGCGGCGUUUUGUUGAAAAAUAAACAAUGAAAUACAACAACAUUAAAAUAGAUGACGUCGCCAUUAACGCAUCAUGAACCCCAUAUGAAACUUACUUACCCCAUACGCCUCAUAGGGGGUCACCACGUGCGUUUAACCAAUCACACGGCGUUUAACCAAUCACAACGUGAUAAUUUAUCUGCGGUCCAAAAAAGGCUCUCUAGUUAGGUUUUACUUUCCUGUACAUUAUUGCUGUAACAGUUUAUCUCUAUCUAUAAUAAUAUUCAAGAUAAUAACCAGAAACGGCAAAAUUUCCUUAAGAUUACCAAUUCAGGGGCAGCAACCUAACAACGAGUCGCCCUUUUCAUCUCAACAUUUUAGGGCAGAUAAAUCUUCACCUGGUUAAAUUUUUUAUCCCAUGUCAGAUUUGCUUUGGUUUUAGAAAUAUAUGAGUCAAAAACUGCAUUUUACCCCUAUGUUAUAUUUUUAGCCAUGGUAGCCAUCUUGGUUAGUUGACCAGGUCACCGAACACAUUUUUUAAACAAGAUACCCCAAUGAUGAUUGUAGCAAAGUUUGGUUUAAUUUGGCCCAGUAGUUUCAGAGGAGAAGAUUUUUGUAAAAGUUAACAGACGACGACGACGGACGACGGACUCAAAGUGAUGAGAAAAUCUCACUUGCCCCUGUGGGCCAUGUGAGCUAAAAAGGUGCACUCGAUUUUCUCUUUUCGAUACAAUUGUUAAACCAUUUUUUGGAAUUUUUUCUCGAGUCACAUAAUGGAAAGGCAGACACGAAAAUUACUGAACUAAUAGAUUGAUAUGUUCUCCGUCC
This 908-nucleotide long non-coding RNA is filed under the name Mytilus galloprovincialis (Mediterranean mussel). Lineage: Eukaryota; Metazoa; Mollusca; Bivalvia; Mytilida; Mytilidae. The record is from RNAcentral.